RNAcentral lists this ribosomal RNA (245 nucleotides) under uncultured archaeon. Its description in RNAcentral is "partial 16S ribosomal RNA". It matches the Rfam family "Archaeal small subunit ribosomal RNA", at positions 474 to 722 of the family's 1478-position model. The record is from RNAcentral.
UACCUGGGCCCCUAGUGGUGACCGCUAUUUUUGGGUUUAAAGCGUUCGUAGCCGGCUUGUUAAGUCCUUAGUGAAAUCUGGCAGCUAACUGUCAGAAUUGCUGGGGAUACUGGCAGGCUCGAGACCGGGAGAGGUAGAGGGUAUUCUUGGGGUAAGGGUAAAAUCUUAUAAUCCCAAGAGGACCACCUGAUGGCUUGACCGCGGAUGCGGUCCAGUCAGGUGAAUGGCGAAGGCGCUCUACUAGA